ACUUCGGACUUAUGCAAUCGUGACGCUCAAACCUUGUCAGGACUGGAAGGUAGCAGCAAUAAGAGAUGCUUAUGGUGGGCGUAGGCUUCGGGGUCACA
Molecule: signal recognition particle RNA, 98 nt
Filed under: Cyanobacteria bacterium CG_2015-02_32_10
Lineage: Bacteria; Bacillati; Cyanobacteriota
Also listed under: 4 other names
Description: signal recognition particle sRNA small type
Rfam family: Bacterial small signal recognition particle RNA
About the family: The signal recognition particle (SRP) is a universally conserved ribonucleoprotein involved in the co-translational targeting of proteins to membranes. Archaeal SRP consists of a 7S RNA and homologues of the eukaryotic SRP19 and SRP54 proteins.
Source: RNAcentral